AAAUAUUCUAGUAGCUUAACCAACAAAGC
This 29-nucleotide transfer RNA is filed under the name Hardella thurjii thurjii. RNAcentral's name for it is "partial transfer RNA-Thr". RNAcentral also lists the same sequence under 1 other name. The record is from RNAcentral. Lineage: Eukaryota; Metazoa; Chordata; Testudines; Geoemydidae.